ACAUGAACUGGGUGGAAGUUCAGCACCACCCGUGGACUUGCUGCGGUUUCCUCAGUUACAGGGAGGCACAGAUCUGCACUGUCUCAUUCUAUCCAAGUCACAUUCAAAUUGCAGCUUGUGCUUAGCUGUGAAAUAGGAGCAAAAUCCAGGGAUAAAGACUAUGCCAGGCAUUCAAAGAAACCACCUUGGAAGUAGGAUCUGUCAACACCCCACUGCUGCUGCUGCAAAGACAAGGCCAUUCCGAUCUUCCUGGUUGGUGUAAAUAAGUGUGAGGAAACCAGUCCAAGGACCCAGCCACCGUACAGAUGGUGGUUGUACAAGAAUCUAUGUUAACUCCAAAAUGCAGAGGUUUCACAGGACCUCAAAGUCUCAAGACAUUUCCACCAGUACAGAAGUCUUAUCAGUAUCAUUCCUGAAGCUUUCCA
Fukomys damarensis (Damara mole-rat) is the source of this 425-nucleotide long non-coding RNA. RefSeq lists it as uncharacterized. The record is from RefSeq and is a predicted model, not a curated record. The transcript has 5 exons. NCBI's taxonomy places the organism in Eukaryota, Metazoa, Chordata, Mammalia, Rodentia, Bathyergidae.